AAUAAGCCACAAUAUUUUUAGAAAUAGUUUUAACGCAAGUAAGCAAACCAAAAAAAUUGUUAGUUUAGUAAUAAUUGUAUAUUAUUUACGUCUUGUUUACAUUAGACAUUUAAUAAUUCCACACCCCGAUGACUAUAUAAAAAAAGCGCGCGAUAAGUCAAUAUACAGCUGGUAGCACGGCAAACAGCUGUUAGGUUGUGCGACACUGCUGGCACCAGGGCUGCAACUGCAUACAAUUCUGGCGCUCGAUUAAUUAAUUUGAAAUAACGAUUAUUCAUCAAUUUCAUACGUGCUUAGGUGACCGUAAACAGCUGCUUGUAAUUUGGUAAUUAAUUUAAGUACUUAAGUAAAGUACUCAAAAGUGAUUUUGCAACAUUUGCAAAACAACUGACUGUUUUAAAACGCUAAAAUACCGUUUGACUUGUCAACACAUAUUUAAAUGUCGUCUAAUUGUACCGUUGGUCAUUUUACUUUCAAACACAUUCCAUUGUGCCUCUAAUUUCUGACACUCGCUUCAUUGACCCAGCCCACAAAACGCCGCGCUGUCUGUGCGAGUCAUACUCUGCAGAAAUACAGUGUGAGAGAGACGGAGAGGGAUAGGAUGAAGGUGGGAGCGAGAGCGAGAAUGAGGAGACUGGCCGACUAACUGACUCAGUGCAUGCCAUUUACCGUUGCGGUUGUUGUUUUGGGCAACAACAAAAACGAAGUUGGCGCCGUUUGGUCAGAAAAUUUUAAGUAAAUAUGUAUGUAUGUAUGUAUGUAUGCAUGUAUAAGUAUAUCUGCAACUAAUUGUAUGUAUUUGCACUGUACGUAUUGUACAUAAUUAUUACAAUUGAGAUUUAAGUGAAAACAUUUUAAGCCAAUGAGUAACAAUAUUGAAACCUUGUACUGGCAUCUUGUUGAAUCAAAUCAAAUAAAUAUCAAUUAAAUGUAA
Molecule: long non-coding RNA, 934 nt
Organism: Drosophila mojavensis
Lineage: Eukaryota; Metazoa; Arthropoda; Insecta; Diptera; Drosophilidae
Exons: 2
Source: RefSeq, a predicted model, not a curated record